Molecule: long non-coding RNA, 1121 nt
Organism: Lagenorhynchus albirostris (white-beaked dolphin)
Lineage: Eukaryota; Metazoa; Chordata; Mammalia; Artiodactyla; Delphinidae
Exons: 5
Source: RefSeq, a predicted model, not a curated record
GGACUGGAAAGGGGCCCGGGGGUCACUCACCGCCUAUCCAGGGGCCGUCGGUCCGCAUGUCCCCCCCAAGCCGCUGGGGCCGCUGCUCCUGCUCCUCUUCUGCCGCCGCCGCCGCCACCGAAUCCCACUCCCGCCACAGCCACCCGAGCUGGAGCCGGAGCCGGAGCCGGAGCCGCCGCCUCUGCCGCCGCCGCCACCGCUCCCGUCGCUCCCGCGCCAGCUCCAGCCGCGCGCCCGCGCCCGCGCCCCUGCCCCUGCCGUGCGCGUCCCCGGCGCCGCCCCUCCCCUCGUGCACUCUCGCUCGUAGAGCUGCUGAGACGCGUAGGCCCGACGAGGCCUCAGCCCAACCCCGAGCCUAAGCCGACGCGGGCUCCAGUACCGAGCCGGAACCCCAAAAUGAGCAUGGACAGACCCAAACUCCCAUACGAAGUCCGGAUCCAGUUAGAGGCUCCCAAUCCAAAUAUGAACCUGAUACUACUCUAGGACCCCAUUCCCUCGAUGUGAACCUGAUACCGAGACCAGACCCACCCCCAAACUCAAUAUCCUAACUCAGGAACUUGGUAAGCUCCAAACCAAGACCCACACCUUGGCACCAAAGCCUCCGGCCCCAGACGUAUCGUCCAGUCUGUGCCACACCAGCUGUCUCCUGCCUGCCCACCUCAUGAAAGACGGGGUACAUACCCCUACUGCUCUAGUGUGGGCCUUUCUUCUGAGCUCAGGACCCAUAUAUCCAAGAGUCUUCUCUAGAUCACUCCCCGGAUGUUCGUCAGUCCGUCAGAAAGAACUCAGAUGCCAGCACCGCAAAACAGUCUGUGUACCAUCUCAGGUGUGGAGUGGGAGGAAAAAGGCCCAGACCCUAGAAUGCUAAUGCCUUUCACUCCUUCCUGGGCCCUGGUCCAGGAAGAUCCCACAUGCCGCAAAGCAACUCAGCCCAUGCACCACAACUACUGAGCCUGCGCUCUAGAGCCCACAGUGCCACAGCUACUGAAGCCCGUGCACCUAGAGCCCGUGCUCCUCAACAAGAGAAGCCACUGCAAUGAUAAGUCCGUGCACCACAACGAGGAGUAGCCCCCACUCGCCACAACUAGGGAGAAGCCCGCGCACAGCAACGAAGACCCAAU